AUGAGUCGACCUGGUGGGAUCAACAUCCCCGAUGGCAAGUUCUACCUUGGAGAUGCUGGCUAUGCAUGUCGGCCGGGUAUUCUUCCACCCUUCAGGAAAACUAGGUACCAUCUCAACGAGUUCUCUGGUAGGAACUAUCCUAGGACUGCACAUGAGCUGUUUAAUCUCAGACACUCCAGCCUUAAAGUAACUGUUGAGAGGGCAUUUGGAGCUCUGAAGAAUAGGUUUAAGAUCUUGGAUCAGAAGCCAUUCCACCCAUACUCCACUUAUGUUAAGCUUGUUCUUGCUUAUUGCAUUCUGCAUAACUGGAUCCUCCAGCGGGGCUUUGAUGAACACGUGCCUGAGGAGGAAGAGGUCGAGGCUGACGUUGUUGUUAGCUCUGGCCAUGGUGUGGAGGCAUUUGAUAAUGACGCUUGGAAGAACAAAAGGUUGGAGUGGGCAGAGGCAAUGUGGCUUAACAGAGGUCAGUGCAAGAUUUGA
RNAcentral lists this ribosomal RNA (480 nucleotides) under Triticum aestivum (bread wheat). RNAcentral describes it as "partial small subunit ribosomal RNA". The record is from RNAcentral. Lineage: Eukaryota; Viridiplantae; Streptophyta; Magnoliopsida; Poales; Poaceae.